UAGAGGAAGUAAAAGUCGUAACAAGGUCUCCGUUGGUGAACCAGCGGAGGGAUCAUUACUGAGUUUACGCUCUAUAACCCUUUGUGAACAUACCUAUAACUGUUGCUUCGGCGGGUAGGGUCUCCGCGACCCUCCCGGCCUCCCGCCUCCGGGCGGGUCGGCGCCCGCCGGAGGAUAACCAAACUCUGAUUUAACGACGUUUCUUCUGAGUGGUACAAGCAAAUAAUCAAAACUUUUAACAACGGAUCUCUUGGUUCUGGCAUCGAUGAAGAACGCAGCGAAAUGCGAUAAGUAAUGUGAAUUGCAGAAUUCAGUGAAUCAUCGAAUCUUUGAACGCACAUUGCGCCCGCCAGCAUUCUGGCGGGCAUGCCUGUUCGAGCGUCAUUUCAACCCUCAAGCUCUGCUUGGUGUUGGGGCCCUACAGCUGAUGUAGGCCCUCAAAGGUAGUGGCGGACCCUCUCGGAGCCUCCUUUGCGUAGUAACUUUACGUCUCGCACUGGGAUCCGGAGGGACUCUUGCCGUAAAACCCCCAAUUUUCCAAAGGUUGACCUCGGAUCAGGUAGGAAUACCCGCUGAACUUAAGCAUAUCAAUA
RNAcentral lists this ribosomal RNA (593 nucleotides) under Colletotrichum gloeosporioides. RNAcentral describes it as "eukaryotic LSU rRNA". The stretch from base 231 to 384 matches the Rfam family "5.8S ribosomal RNA". The record is from RNAcentral. Lineage: Eukaryota; Fungi; Ascomycota; Sordariomycetes; Glomerellales; Glomerellaceae.